AUGCAAGUGGAGUCAAUCUGUAUGAAGAAGAGUUUCUGGGGGGUUGAUGAGGUGGCUGGCAGCCGUUGCUUGACAAGUUGCCUUCGAGGUUCCAAUUGCGAAAAAGAAGACGACCUGACAAUGGGAUGUGUGAGGGUUCUGAAGACGCAGAUCAUAUGUUCUUUGAAUGUGUUGCUGCCAGAUUCAUGUGAGUUGCUAGGUAGAGAUGACCUUUGUGCUUUGGUUCAGGGGGUUGCUAGGAGAGUUUUAAGCAGUUCUGAAUCGUGCUUGCUACUGAAUUCCGGGCUUUAUGUAAGAUGUGUGAUAAUAUGGUUUUUGAACGAAAAUUUUGCGAACCAUCCCUCUGAUUACUUGCUCGCGACGCCCAUCUAUUUUGCAGCGAAUGGUUUUUGA
RNAcentral lists this ribosomal RNA (393 nucleotides) under Triticum aestivum (bread wheat). RNAcentral's name for it is "partial small subunit ribosomal RNA". Lineage: Eukaryota; Viridiplantae; Streptophyta; Magnoliopsida; Poales; Poaceae. The record is from RNAcentral.